UACUGGCCUUGUAAUUCUAUGAUUUUGGCAGCAAACAAACUUCUUAUUCUCUGAGAAUAAAGAUUCAUUUGUUAGAUGCAGAUCAGAUCUGGCAAAACAAAGAAGCCCCGCACCUGGAUGGGUUCUUGUGAAUUGUACUGAACCCCGUGUUCUACUAUACAGGCCUUAAAAAAAUAUCACAAUCCACUUUCCCGGCCUCCAUCUUCAACCUGCAGACUUAGCAGAUCAUACUGACCUAGCUUCUGCUCUACAUACAUGUCUUAACAUUCAACAAGAAAUUCAACACCAUUUUGUUGCAGAAGAGUAAACUGGUAAACGAAUUCUUUAUCUAGUUCCAUCUAUUGUACCACCUAUGAAUCCAAAAAUAAACUAUGCAGGAGGUAUGUAGAUUCUUUUUUCACUUAGCUUCCAUACUUGUUUACUUAUUUCAUUAACAUGAAUAGUAGAAUACUAGCUAUUUUAUAUCUAAUAAUUACAGCAGAUGAAACUAGUGAAAUUUAAAUAUGUAUAUAUUAAUUGAAAAGUGAAGUAAUUAAUCAUCAAAUACAUACUAUAACUUAUUUCAA
This is a long non-coding RNA of Ipomoea nil (Japanese morning glory), 566 nucleotides long. RefSeq lists it as uncharacterized. NCBI's taxonomy places the organism in Eukaryota, Viridiplantae, Streptophyta, Magnoliopsida, Solanales, Convolvulaceae. The transcript is spliced from 2 exons. The record is from RefSeq and is a predicted model, not a curated record.